This 460-nucleotide ribosomal RNA is filed under the name uncultured bacterium. RNAcentral describes it as "partial 16S ribosomal RNA". It matches the Rfam family "Bacterial small subunit ribosomal RNA", at positions 338 to 795 of the family's 1533-position model. The record is from RNAcentral.
CCUACGGGAGGCAGCAGUGAGGAAUAUUGGUCAAUGGGCGGAAGCCUGAACCAGCCAAGUAGCGUGCAGGAUGACGGCCCUACGGGUUGUAAACUGCUUUUAUACGGGAAUAACGCGCCUUACGUGUAGGGCUUUGCAUGUACCGUAUGAAUAAGGACCGGCUAAUUCCGUGCCAGCAGCCGCGGUAAUACGGAAGGUCCGGGCGUUAUCCGGAUUUAUUGGGUUUAAAGGGAGCGUAGGCCGCAUGUCAAGCGUGCUGUGAAAUGUCCGGGCUCAACCCGGGCCGUGCAGCGCGAACUGGCGUGCUUGAGACCGCGGAAGGCAGGCGGAAUUCGUCGUGUAGCGGUGAAAUGCUUAGAUAUGACGAAGAACCCCGAUUGCGAAGGCAGCAUGCUGCAGCGGAACUGACGCUGAUGCUCGAAAGCGCGGGUAUCGAACAGGAUUAGAUACCCCAGUAGUC